This 385-nucleotide ribosomal RNA is filed under the name uncultured bacterium. RNAcentral describes it as "bacterial SSU rRNA". It matches the Rfam family "Bacterial small subunit ribosomal RNA", at positions 29 to 416 of the family's 1533-position model. The record is from RNAcentral.
AACGAACGCUGGCGGCAUGCCUUACACAUGCAAGUCGAACGGCAGCACGGGAGCAAUCCUGGUGGCGAGUGGCGAACGGGUGAGUAAUGUAUCGGAACGUACCUUUCAGUGGGGAUAACGUAGCGAAAGUUACGCUAAUACCGCAUAUUCUGUGAGCAGGAAAGCAGGGGAUCGCAAGACCUUGCGCUGAUUGAGCGGCCGAUAUCAGAUUAGCUAGUUGGUGAGGUAAAGGCUCACCAAGGCGACGAUCUGUAGCGGGUCUGAGAGGAUGAUCCGCCACACUGGAACUGAGACACGGUCCAGACUCCUACGGGAGGCAGCAGUGGGGAAUUUUGGACAAUGGGCGCAAGCCUGAUCCAGCCAUGCCGCGUGAGUGAAGAAGGCC